AAACUUUCCAGAGGAAAAGGAUUACAUACCUAGAGCUAUCUAUGAAAUGACGUAGCCUACUUUGCAAAGUAAAAGUAAUCGAAAUAAAAUUGUAUUUUAUAUUGUAAUGAACUGCAAAGAAUGUAACUAUAUGGAGGGAGAAAGCAGCUAUCAAGAAAGGAAAUUUCACUCUUGAUUAGGUACCAAUCAUGUUUUAAUAAGAAGAUUACAAUUUAAAAUUAGGAAAAGGAAUGAUCCCCCAAGUUGUUGGGACUCUGCAUAAAUGCUCUACUGGAUGUGGAAUUUGUUUAAUAGAUGAUUAGGGCUGAAGCCUGGAUAUCAUUUGGAUGCAUUCUCAGCACGGUAGACCUGAGGAUGUCAAACUCGCACCCCUCGAACACUCAACAAUAAUUAUGAUAUUUUUUAUUUUUAUUAAAAAUGAAAUUUUACAUAAGUUGAUUUGUAUAAAUUGCAAUAAUGGUGAUAUGCAAGAAAUUAAUAAGUGAAUGGCAUUUGAAAUUUAAGGUAGACUUAAUUUUUUGAAGAAAGUUAUGUCUCAAAUUUACAAUAAAUUGGGAUCUGGUCUUAUUACACUGGCUUUGGUUGCAACAGCAAUAA
Non-coding RNA from Styela clava, 597 nucleotides. The record is from RefSeq and is a predicted model, not a curated record. Lineage: Eukaryota; Metazoa; Chordata; Ascidiacea; Stolidobranchia; Styelidae.